UAAGCAUAUCAAUAAGCGGAGGAAAAGAAACCAACAGGGAUUGCCUCAGUAACGGCGAGUGAAGCGGCAAGAGCUCAAAUUUGAAAGCUGGCUCCUUCGGGGUCCGCAUUGUAAUUUGCAGAGGAUGUUUCGGAAGCAGCCCCCAUCUAAGUGUCCUGGAACGGACCGUCAUAGAGGGUGAGAAUCCCGUAUGGGAUGGGGUGUCUGCGUCCAUGUGAAACUCCUUCGACGAGUCGAGUUGUUUGGGAAUGCAGCUCUAAAUGGGUGGUAAAUUUCAUCUAAAGCUAAAUAUUGGCCGGAGACCGAUAGCGCACAAGUAGAGUGAUCGAAAGAUGAAAAGCACUUUGAAAAGAGAGUUAAAAAGCACGUGAAAUUGUUGAAAGGGAAGCGCUUGCGAUCAGACUCGCCUUGGGGGUUCAGCCGGCAUUCGUGCCGGUGUACUUCCCCCAGGGCGGGCCAGCGUCGGUUUGGGUGGCUGGUCAAAGGCCCUUGGAAUGUAACGCCUCUCGGGGCGUCUUAUAGCCAAGGGUGCCAUGCAGCCUACCUGGACCGAGGAACGCGCUUCGGCUCGGACGCUGGCAUAAUGGUCGUAAGCGACCCGUCUUGAAACACGGACCAAGGAGUCUAACAUCUACGCGAGUGUUCGGGUGUCAAACCCGUGCGCGCAGUGAAAGCGAACGGAGGUGGGAACCCUUUGGGUGCACCAUCGACCGAUCCUGAUGUCUUCGGAUGGAUUUGAGUAAGAGCGUAGCUGUUGGGACCCGAAAGAUGGUGAACUAUGCCUGAAUAGGGCGAAGCCAGAGGAAACUCUGGUGGAGGCUCGCAGCGGUUCUGACUUGCAAAUCGAUCGUCGAAUUUGGGUAUA
This 865-nucleotide ribosomal RNA is filed under the name Penicillium thomii. RNAcentral describes it as "LSU rRNA". It matches the Rfam family "Eukaryotic large subunit ribosomal RNA", at positions 35 to 919 of the family's 3401-position model. The record is from RNAcentral. Lineage: Eukaryota; Fungi; Ascomycota; Eurotiomycetes; Eurotiales; Aspergillaceae.